Molecule: ribosomal RNA, 790 nt
Filed under: Meloe fernandezi
Lineage: Eukaryota; Metazoa; Arthropoda; Insecta; Coleoptera; Meloidae
Description: partial large subunit ribosomal RNA
Rfam family: Bacterial large subunit ribosomal RNA (bases 1-577)
Source: RNAcentral
GUCUUUUUGUUAAUUAUUUAAGGUUUGGCCUGCUCCAUGAUUAAAUUAAAUAGCCGCAGUAUUUUGACUGUGCAAAGGUAGCAUAAUCAUUAGUUUUUUAAUUGAAAGCUGGAAUGAAUGGUCGGAUGAGAAAGAAUCUGUCUCAUUUUAAUUUAAUUUGAAUUUUAUUUUUAAGUUAAAAAGCUUAAAUUUUAUAGAAAGACGAGAAGACCCUAUAGAGUUUAAUAAGUAAAUAGGUUAAUUAUUGUAGGAUUUUAAUGUGAUUAAUUAAUUACUUGUUUUGUUGGGGUGACAUGAGAAUUGAAUUAACUUCUUAAGAUUUUUACAUUAAUUAAUGGUUGAAUGAUCCUGAUUUUUGGAUUUAAAGAAAAAAUUACCUUAGGGAUAACAGCGUAAUCUUCUUGGAGAGUUCUAAUCGAUAAGAGGGAUUGCGACCUCGAUGUUGGAUUAAAGUUAAGUUCUGGUGCAGAAGCUAGAAUUUUAAGUCUGUUCGACUUUUAAAACUUUACAUGAUCUGAGUUUAAACCGGCGUGAGCCAGGUUGGUUUCUAUCUUUUAUAUGUAAAAUAUUUUAGUACGAAAGGACCAGGUAUUUGAAUAAUAUUUUUAAUUUGAAUAAAAUUGUUAUUUUGGCAGAUUAGUGCAAUAGAUUUAGAAUCUUUAUAUGUAAUUUUAUUACAAAUAACAAUUUAUUUUAUUGAUUUGAUUUUGUUGUUUAUUUCGGUAUUAAUUUUAGUUGUGUGUGUUUUAGUAGGCGUGGCAUUUCUAACUCUUUUAGAGCGUAAGGUUUU